CCCCGCUGAAACUUAAGCAUAUCAAUAAGCGGAGGAAAAGAAACUAACAAGGAUUCCCCUAGUAACGGCGAGUGAAGCGGGAAAAGCUCAAAUUUGAAAUCUGGCGGUCUACGGCCGUCCGAGUUGUAGUCUAGAGAGGUGUCUUCUGCGCCGGACCAUGCACAAGUCCCUUGGAACAGGGCGUCAUAGAGGGUGAGAAUCCCGUCCGUGGCAUGGACUCCCGGUGCUUUGUGAUGCGCCUUCGAAGAGUCGAGUUGUUUGGGAAUGCAGCUCAAAAUGGGUGGUAAAUUCCAUCUAAAGCUAAAUACAGGCGAGAGACCGAUAGCGAACAAGUACCGUGAGGGAAAGAUGAAAAGCACUUUGGAAAGAGAGUUAAACAGUACGUGAAAUUGUUGAAAGGGAAACGCUUGGAGUCAGUCGCGUUUGCUGGGACUCAGCCUUGCUUUUGCUUGGUGCAUGUCCUGGUACACGGGCCAGCAUCGAUUUUGGUUGCCGGAAAAAGGCUUGGGGAAGGUGGCACCUUCGGGUGUGUUAUAGCCCCUUGUUGUAUACGGUGGCUGGGAUCGAGGACCGCAGCACGCCUUUUGGUCGGGGUUUACCCACGCCACGUGCUUAGGAUGCUGGCGUAAUGGCUUUAAACGACCCGUCUUGAAACACGGACCAAGGAGUCUAACAUGCCUGCGAGUGUUUGGGUGUAAAACCCAGGCGCGUAAUGAAAGUGAAAGGUUGGGACUCUUCGCUGAGGCACCGACGCCCGAUCCUGAAGUUCUCUGAUGGAUUUGAGGUAGAGCAUGUAUGUUGGGACCCGAAAGAUGGUGAACUAUGCCUGAAUAGGGCGAAGCCAGAGGAAACUCUGGUGGAGGCUCGUAGCGAUUCUGACGUGCAAAUCGAUCGUCAAAUUUGGGUAUAGGGGCGAAAGACUAAUCGAACCAU
This 933-nucleotide ribosomal RNA is filed under the name Pseudohydnum totarae. RNAcentral describes it as "partial large subunit ribosomal RNA". It matches the Rfam family "Eukaryotic large subunit ribosomal RNA", at positions 24 to 943 of the family's 3401-position model. The record is from RNAcentral. Lineage: Eukaryota; Fungi; Basidiomycota; Agaricomycetes; Auriculariales.